Molecule: ribosomal RNA, 398 nt
Filed under: uncultured bacterium
Lineage: Bacteria
Description: partial 16S ribosomal RNA
Rfam family: Bacterial small subunit ribosomal RNA
Source: RNAcentral
CCUACGGGUGGCAGCAGUGAGGAAUAUUGGUCAAUGGGCGGGAGCCUGAACCAGCCAAGUCGCGUGAGGGAAGACGGUCCUACGGAUUGUAAACCUCUUUUGCCGGGGAGCAACGGGGUCCUUGCGAGGGCCCAAUGAGAGUACCCGGAGAAAAAGCAUCGGCUAACUCCGUGCCAGCAGCCGCGGUAAUACGGAGGAUGCGAGCGUUAUCGGGCUUUAUUGGGUUUAAGGGGUGCGUAGGCGGGCUGUUAAGUCAGCGGUAAAAUGUCGGGGCUCAACCCCGGCCUGCCGUUGAAACUGGCGGCCUAGAGUGGGGGAGAGGGAUGUGGAAUGCGUGGUGUAGCGGUGAAAUGCAUAGAUAUGAGGCAGAACUCCGAUUGCGAAGGCAGCAUACCGGC